This 1053-nucleotide unclassified non-coding RNA is filed under the name Daphnia pulex (common water flea). RNAcentral's name for it is "neuronal acetylcholine receptor subunit alpha-2-like, transcript variant X2". The record is from RNAcentral. Lineage: Eukaryota; Metazoa; Arthropoda; Branchiopoda; Diplostraca; Daphniidae.
AUGCCCCUUUCAUUUUCUACAGUUAGGCUACCAGUCAGUCUCCGCUUACACCACGUUAGACAUCGUUUCCAAAUACUAGCUACAGUCUAUAGCAAAAGGAUGAAAUUACUGCUAUUAGUGGCGCAAACGGCGCUGUUUUUCUCGUCGUCGCUAUCAGAAGCUCCUAAUAAUUCGAAUUCCCCGUUUUUCAGCUGGAUUAAAGAGCUUCAGAAGGAACUUUUCAAUGUUCGUCAAUACAAUAAACAUGCCAGGCCAAUAUCAAAUGACAGUGAACAAGUUAUCAAAGUGGACAUGCAGUUUAGUUUCGUUCGGGCGGUCUUGAAUGAGAAGGAUGGCACAUUGGAGACCUCCGGAUGGCUUGGAAUGCGAUGGGUGGACAGUAUGAUGAAGUGGGAUCCUAUGGCCUAUGGAGAUUUGCGCAACUUAAAAUUAAUGUCGGAUCUGUUAUGGAAACCGGAUAUAGUGGUUUUUAAUAGUGUGCGAGGCUAUGAUCCCAUGCCUCCAUCCCAAUCUGUUCUUCUUUAUGACGGUGUGGUCUACUACAUACCUCGUCUAUAUUUAAUAACACCGUGCGACCUAGAUUUAACUAAAUGGCCCAAAGGAUUUCAAAAAUGCGAAAUUCGGUUUGGUGCUUGGACUUUAGAUAGCAGCGAGAUAUUCCUUGGUGUUUUAGAAAACCAAACGAAGGCAGACCUUAAACACUACAAAGCUGGAAAUUUACAAUGGAAAAUUACGGAUACUACUAUUACAACAAACUCAUACUUCAACUGUUGCAGUCCUCAUUAUCAAGACGUUAUUGUCACCAUUCAGUUACACCGUCAAUCUUCAAUGGCAGAAAAAGUUGCCAUAAUUUCAUCUGUCUAUGGAUUCUUGUAUUGCUAACCUAUUGGAUGAAACCCCAGUCUACCGAUCGCAUAACGAUUGCAUACUCAUGUUCAUUUGGAAUGAUAUUCAUUUUUAUUUAUUUCUUAUGGAAAUUACCAACAGGAAAAAAUAUUCCUAUUGUCGUGAUCACUCAUUCCACGCUUUUAUUACUUUGCGGUUUGAACUGUG